RNAcentral lists this long non-coding RNA (1372 nucleotides) under Homo sapiens (human). RNAcentral describes it as "non-protein coding lnc-MAP10-5:2". Lineage: Eukaryota; Metazoa; Chordata; Mammalia; Primates; Hominidae. The record is from RNAcentral.
UUUAAAAAAAUAGUUUUUCAUAUUUCAAAUUUAGACAUUGUCUUUAACUUUCUAUCAUAAAAGAUGGAAUUUGGCUCUUCCCCAUGCCCCCAAAACACAUAUACACAGUCCCACACCCCCACUGUCCCUGAACCCAGUUAUGUUGUUAAAAUCAAUUGUGGGAGUUUAUAUUACUUUGAUUGCAUAAUUAUUAUUUACAGUUGAAUCAUGUAAAGCAGACAUCACCAGCUUGAUUGAGGUUAGAGCUUAUUAUUUAUAUACAAAGAUGAAGCCAGGAAUUGUAUGUGUCAAUGCCAGAUUAUUAGUGGAAGAUUGGUACCAUUCAGAUAAAAGCUAAAGCUACCUGAAUCAAAUUAGGAAUAAAACCCAGGUCACCAAUGAGCCAGGAUUGGUGGAUCAAAGCUGGUUUAAUUUACAGGAGACUUUAAGGUAAAUUGGUUUUGUAUCUGAAGUCAUUUCAUACCUAGAGACUUAAGAUUAUAAGGAAAACAAAGUAAGUCACUUGUAAAAAUUGAAAGUGGUGAGGAAAUGACAAAUGCGGCAUAUGCAGCUGAGAUGAGUCAUUUGACAGUAGGAAUGAUUCUUGUAAACUAUUUUUUAAAUUAACUAGCUCUUGGUCCAGGAGCUGUGGCUCACGCCUGUAAUCCCAACACUUUGGGAGGCCGAGGCGGGCAGAUUACCUGAGGUCAGGAGUUCGAGGCCAGCCUGCCCAACAUGGUGAAACCCAGUUUGUACUAAAAAUACAAAAAUGAGCUGGGUGUUGUGGCACAUGCCAGUAAUCCCAGCUACUCUGGAGGCUGAGGCAAGAGAAUCACUUGAACCCGGAAGGCGGAGUGAGCUGAGAUCACGCCACUGCACCCCAACCUGGGCGACAGAGCAAGACUCCAUCUCAAAAAAAUAAUUAAUUAAUUAACUAGCUCUCUAAACGUUCAAUAAAACUUAUCCUGAGCCGCAUGUUGUGCCUGUGUGGUCUCACCCAAGGGAAGGUGAGCACAUUCAUAUUGGCUGGUGAAAAUCCAGGCAAUAUGUCUGUAUGGUUCUUAAAGAACUGAGAAACAGCAAGAAUACGCACAAUAUUUGUAAAUAACUUGAGCCUUUAUAAAAUGAUCCUUUUUUGGAAAAUACACAGAAAAAGUUGUGCGCAGGUUUACCUAGAAUGUCAAUUGGAAUGAAGACUGUGAUGGCUUAGCCAUCACAGGUCAUUCUUAUAGAAGCAGCAUUGUCUGUGAAAGGCUUUCAGGAUUCAUCCUUAGAAAGGGUUUAUUUUCCUCUCACUUUCUCCACUGGUGUAAGAUUACAGCUUUCCAGCGUCUCUUGGUGAGAAGGAAAUACAACUUGAUUCCUCUGUCUGAUAAAGUAGGCUUGGGGCUUU